RNAcentral lists this ribosomal RNA (252 nucleotides) under uncultured bacterium. RNAcentral's name for it is "partial 16S ribosomal RNA". It matches the Rfam family "Bacterial small subunit ribosomal RNA", at positions 524 to 776 of the family's 1533-position model. The record is from RNAcentral.
UACGUAGGUCCCGAGCGUUGUCCGGAUUUAUUGGGCGUAAAGCGAGCGCAGGUGGUUUAUUAAGUCUGGUGUAAAAGGCAGUGGCUCAACCAUUGUAUGCAUUGGAAACUGGUAGACUUGAGUGCAAGAGAGGAGAGUGGAAUUCCAUGUGUAGCGGUGAAAUGCGUAGAUAUAUGGAGGAACACCGGUGGCGAAAGCGGCUCUCUGGCCUGUAACUGACACUGAGGCUCGAAAGCGUGGUGAGCAAACAGG